Salvelinus sp. IW2-2015 is the source of this 782-nucleotide long non-coding RNA. RefSeq lists it as uncharacterized. The record is from RefSeq and is a predicted model, not a curated record. Lineage: Eukaryota; Metazoa; Chordata; Actinopteri; Salmoniformes; Salmonidae.
CUUCACCAUCUAACACAGUAGACAGCAGUACUACACCAUUCACCAUCUAACACAGUAGACAUCAAGUAUUACCACCUUCCACCAUCUAACACAGCAGACAGCAGUACUACACCUUCACCAUCUAACACAGUAGACAGCAAUACUACACCUUUACCAUCUAACGCAGUAGACAGCAGUACUACACCUUCAGCAGAAGAUGGCAGCACACUAGAAGUCACAACGUCCACUCCUAUUGAACUUGGAUCAACAUCGACUCUUCAAGCCACACAUACCGUCCCUGCUGUGUCUAACCUAGUACAGACCAUUACCAGUCAUUCUGAUGACACAACUGGUAACACAACACCACCAGUCACAACAACCUUGUUCCACAAUACUGUCUCCAAGGAAACAACUGAGGCAGACCAWAAGAACAUCAUAACCUCUCACAAAGAUACCCAAACUCUAAUCGCCCAUUUGAGGGUCUCUAUAGUUUCGGCUGGGGACAUAAGUAAGGAGGAGAUCAUUGAGGCGUUGCAUAAUCUUGCAGCGCAGGUCCAAGCCUUUCUACAGAGAGAGUACUGUAACAACUGCACACUACGCAUCAGAAACGUCAGAGGAAUAUGAGACCAACAUUUAAUCCAAACCAGGUCUCUACACUAACCCAAAGAAUCUUAUGAGAUUCCUGGAACUAACCCUCAUCAUAUAACCCUAAUAUAGUCUGGAACACUGUCACGACCUGAACAUAGAGAGCCCUUGGUUCUCUAUGGUGUAGUAGGUCUGGGUGUGACUAGGGGGUGUUCUAG